GUGGCAUGGGACAUCAUGACGCGGCCGAAACAUCUUGGAGGGCUCGAUUUUAGAGACAUGGAAAUCUUUAACCUAGCAUUAUUGGCUAGGUAGGCAUGGAGGAUUUUGUGUGACCCUUCCUCUCUUAGUGCAUGCUUACUGAAAGCGGUGUAUUUCCCUAACUCAACCCUGCUCGAUGCAGAUUUUGGAGGCCAACCCUCUCAGAUAUGGAGGGUGAUAGUUGAUGGAAGAGACAUGCUUAGGCAAGGCAUCAUACGGAGAAUCAGAAACGGGAGCACUACAGAAAUAUGGAAUCAUAACUGGCUUCCUCGGCCUGGAAUGAUGAGACCCAUCUCCUCACUGAUUAUCAACCCACCAAAGUAUGUGUCUAAAUUAAUCAAUGAAGCAACCACAUCUUGGAACGAACAGCUGGUGCGUUCAGUUUUUGUUCCCAUCGACGCUGAAGCCAUCUUGGCAAUACCACUUUGCACAAGGAAUAUGAGCGAUUUCUGGGCUUGGAGCAGAGAGAAGAGGAAAUUUUUCUGUAAAAUUUGCGUAUAG
This 540-nucleotide ribosomal RNA is filed under the name Triticum aestivum (bread wheat). Its description in RNAcentral is "partial small subunit ribosomal RNA". Lineage: Eukaryota; Viridiplantae; Streptophyta; Magnoliopsida; Poales; Poaceae. The record is from RNAcentral.